This 1528-nucleotide long non-coding RNA is filed under the name Olea europaea subsp. europaea. Lineage: Eukaryota; Viridiplantae; Streptophyta; Magnoliopsida; Lamiales; Oleaceae. The record is from RNAcentral.
GAUAAUGGGUAACACAAAAAAUCAUUCCAAAAUAUGGGAAACCAGAAAAAAUUCAGUAAUGAUCCUCGGCCACAGGAAAAUGAAGCCCCACCCCACGCCCUCCCAAAUCUGAAUUCAAACCAGCCUUCUAAUUUACUAUAUUUCAGCUCCAAUGGCUUCACCAGCAGCAGCUCCGCCGGCUGUAUUUUUUCUUGGACUGAGGUACCAAAAGAGAAUUCGAAGCGCGAAAUUGGGUAAGACGAAGAAGAAAUAUGCAUGGAAAUUUUACGGUUUAUGCAGUUAAAGAUCCGAACAGCCGGCAAUAGGCACCUCCUGCAGUGGACACGAGAAUUCAUUGGGAGAAUGAGAAUGAGGGCUGGUUAGGGGAAAGUAAUUCCCAGUCACAGACAACACAAUUCAAAGAUGAGGAGAAACUUCUGAAUGAAAAAUUCUCGGAUCUACUCAACGGUUCAUCUGAUUCUUAUUGCCAGUAAGUCUUGAUUAUCUAUAAUUUCUUGGUUUUUAGCUGAAGUUAUUAUAAUUGUUUGAUUUAUGUGCCCAAGAUUUCAUAUUAUUUGAAUAGCUGGCUGGCAGUUCAUGUUCCUGCUAAAUCAAGAAAGGAAAAAACAGAUAUACUCCAUUUUCUGAAUUUGUAGCGUUGGGGGUAUGUUUUGGUAAAGAGACUCAGACCAGACAAGACAAGAUUAUAUAGAAAAUCAAUAUCAAAUAAAUAAAAGGGAUCAAAUUUUUUUUUUUGAGUUAUUGAUAUUAAAUUAAGAGAGAGGUCCCAUUCUCUUAUUGAAUUGAUAAUACUUGUGUAUCAUAGUCAGUAGCUAGAUAUGCAUGGCCCAUUUCAAUAGGUUUUGAAGAUAAAAAUCCUUUAUCGAGCAGCCAUAAACUCGCUUUCUCUCCACGAAGAAGAUCGAAUGAACACUUUCUUGUGAGGGAAUAUCUUUGCAGAUGAAUUAGCUUUUUCUGUUCUUGUUUCUUGAAUACCUUCGGUGGUUCCUAUCCUCAGAAAAUAUAAGGUUUUCAUAAGGUUGAAAGGACAUCUAAGCAUGAAUAAUUUCAUUUAAUCAUAGAGCAUCUCUUCUUUAGACUAAAUAAUGUGGACAAUGGCAUUGCAUCCAUUCAAUAUUAAGGUUUUUCAAGAAUAUUAUUUUAACUAAAAAAACUGGUACCAAUAUUGCAGGCAAACCUGCUAUGGUGCCAAAGAGGGUUUGACGCCUUCCUUGAUAAACCCUCACAAUAGGGGGCAAGAAUUUUUUGGACAUUUGUUAUUCACGUGAGUCCCACUCCAUGUGAGUAUCUAUCAACAAGAACGUCAAAUUCCUUCUGGCAAAGGAACUUAAUUCUUUUGCAGGUUCUUAGAGAAGCUGCAAAUGCAAAUUUGGAAGAAAUAAAAGCCGCUUACCAGAAGUUGUCGAAGGAAUACCAUCCUGACACUGCAGAACUUCCUCUGAAAGUUGCUUCAAAAAAGCUCAUGAAAUUACGAGAAAUUUACAGUGUUCCGAGCAACAACGAGAAACGCAAGUUCCACGACUGGUCA